AAGAGACAGCAGUAGCCACGGUAAUACAGAGGGUGCAAGCGUUAAUCGGAAUUACUGGGCGUAAAGCGCGCGUAGGUGGUUUGUUAAGUUGGAUGUGAAAGCCCCGGGCUCAACCUGGGAACUGCAUCCAAAACUGGCAAGCUAGAGUACGGUAGAGGGUGGUGGAAUUUCCUGUGUAGCGGUGAAAUGCGUAGAUAUAGGAAGGAACACCAGUGGCGAAGGCGACCACCUGGACUGAUACUGACACUGAGGUGCGAAAGCGUGGGGAGCAAACAGGAUUAGAUACCCGCGUAGUCCCUGUCUCUUAUAC
RNAcentral lists this ribosomal RNA (310 nucleotides) under uncultured bacterium. RNAcentral's name for it is "partial 16S ribosomal RNA". It matches the Rfam family "Bacterial small subunit ribosomal RNA", at positions 503 to 807 of the family's 1533-position model. The record is from RNAcentral.